Molecule: non-coding RNA, 1941 nt
Organism: Paramisgurnus dabryanus
Lineage: Eukaryota; Metazoa; Chordata; Actinopteri; Cypriniformes; Cobitidae
Source: RefSeq, a predicted model, not a curated record
GUUAGAUGUCGCUGUAGAUUUAGCAGUACAUUACUGUAAAAAUCCACAGUACUAUACUGUAUGUAUACAUUACAGUACAGUACUGCAGUUCAUAAUGCAUUCUGGGUAAAUUUGUUUGAGCGGGAAAAUUUUACAGUAUAUUUUGGUCUUGAUGUAACCUUGCUGUAGCCAUUGCUGUAAUGUGCCAGGUGUACUUGCAAUAAUCAGAGAAAGUGCGCCAGAGUCAAAUCACACAGACAGAGCACAACUCCUGGCUGCAGCUGAAGGAGGACGAUUGAUUUCUGGCAGUUCGGUAAGUUUGAAAUAUUUCUGUUUCAUGAAAACUUAAUUUUUAGUUUAAGAAUGUUGUCAAUAGUUUGUCACAAUAUUGUUUUAAACGUGCAAUGAGAGAAAAAAACGGUCGCCAACAAAGUUUCAAUCUCCCUCAGAAAGUAAGCUAACGUUACACACAGAUGUCUACCGCUGCUUUAACUCGCUUUACACCUUUUUUUUAAUGAAUAUAGGGUUGUUUUAACUAAAUUAUAAGGGUUUUGGUGAGUUUAUAUUGUGUUGAAAGUGUGGUGACAAUGAAACUAUUUUUAACGAAAUGGACAAAGACAACCCGCCAGCGCGGUCUUGCGGUCCCAGCAUAACGGUCGUUUAUCUCGGCGUUUCAUCCGUUCAGUUAGCGUCAGAGAAAAGUAUUAAGUUCGACUGUUUGGUAAGGCUGUGGUUGUAAACAGACAGGACUUGACACGCCGUACACAGCAUACCGAACUCCUCCACAGAAGUGAAAACAAGAAACCUCAUAUUUAACUGGAUACAUGCAUCGAACUCAUCGCAGCUUUAACUUCGACCAAAUAUCAUUCAGACCUGGGCUCAUCUUAAUAUCAGAUGAACGAAAGGGAUUGCCGCGCGUAUUGUUGUUCUUAUUAUAUUACGUCUUACCAUUGCUUGUAAGCUGGAUUGGGUAAGAUGGAUCAUCUUUAAAGGCACCAGGAGUUAAGGCAGAUGUGGAGGCACAACGGGUGAUACCAGACACACACCAAGCACAUUAUGUUCGGACAUUCAAUCAUGACAGGAUCCAGGUGGAUGCUGUCCAUUGAUGAAAGAGUUUGUUCAGCGGUUUCUGGAUAGAAUUAAUUCCAAAGAUGGGAAAAAGUGCACAUCCAGACAAGGAGCAAGCAAAAAGACAAGGAACUUGGUGCAGAGAAAAGCUGUGGUCAUUAACCCCCAUGUGAACAGCUUCAUGCAGUCCCUGAUUGAGUUCGAAUGGACGACUUCAAAGUAAAGGCCACUGUGGUCUGUCUGCCACAGUUUAAUGCAUUUAUUUUUAGUGUUAAAUGAAAUUUAAGUAGAAUAUUUAAAACUAUGGGCCAGUGUUCUUUUUACCACAGUGAAAUGUUACCUUUUAGUCGAUGAUGGACUUUAAACUGAAAACUUCAAACUAUGGACCAGUGUUCUAUUUGCCAGAGUUAAAUAUGUUACAGCAGGGGUCUCCAAACUUGUUUAUACUUGUUGAUUUUAUUUUAUGUUACUUGAUUAUAUGUUUAUUAUUGUUUAAAAUCUUGUUUUAAAUAUGUUUGUUUCAAUUAAAUGUUUUUUUUAAAUAAAAUUUUGAUACAUACAUUGCUUUGAUUGCCUUUUAAUUCAUUAUGUUUUAAUUUAGCAUUUUUACCAUAUUAAUAACUAUAGAUUUAAACCUAAAUCUCUAGCUAUUUUAUAUAAUAUUAUUGUAUUAACUGUAAUAAGUAAUAAAUAGUAUUUAUGGGUCAAUAUAGACAUUACAGUAAAUUACUGUAAAAAUAGACUACUGUAAUAAAAUAUUGUAAAAUUACAGUACAGUACUGCUUUGUAACUAUACAGUACUAGUUUGUGUACUGUAAAAGGGUAUUACAGUACAGUACUGUAAAACCAAAAUACAGUAACUUACUGGCAACCGUGCUGCCAGUACCGUACUGU